This 1392-nucleotide ribosomal RNA is filed under the name Nannochelifer sp. JM-2008. Its description in RNAcentral is "SSU rRNA". It matches the Rfam family "Eukaryotic small subunit ribosomal RNA", at positions 396 to 1824 of the family's 1831-position model. The record is from RNAcentral. Lineage: Eukaryota; Metazoa; Arthropoda; Arachnida; Pseudoscorpiones; Cheliferidae.
GCCUGAGAGACGGCUACCACAUCCAAGGAAGGCAGCAGGCGCGCAAAUUACCCACUCCCGGCACGGGGAGGUAGUGACGAAAAAUAACAAUACGGGACUCUAACGAGGCUCCGUAAUUGGAAUGAGUACACUGUAAACCCUUUAACGAGGAUCUAUUCGAGCAGUAGUCUGGUGCCAGCCCGCGCGGUAACACCAGCUCGAAGAGCGUAUAUUAAAGUUGUUGCGGUUAAAACGCUCGUAGUUGGAUCUCAGUCGUGCGCCCGGCGACGCGUCGAAAGGCGUCUAUCGUCGGGGCCGGCAAACGCGGCCGGUGUCGUCGGUUGGCCUUAAAAAGCUGAUCGGCUUCUCUCCGGCGAUUUUACUUUGAAAAAAUUAGGGUGCUCAAAGCAGGCCGGGGCCUGGAUACUGGUGCAUGGAAUAAUGAAAUAGGACCUCGGUUCUAUUUUGUUGGUUUUCGGAAGCCGAGGUAAUGAUUAAGAGGGACAGACGGGGGCAUUCGUAUUGCUGCGCUAGAGGUGAAAUUCUUGGACCGUAGCAAGACGAACUACUGCGAAAGCAUUUGCCAAGAAUGUUUUCAUUAAUCCAGAACGAAAGUUAGAGGAUCGAAGGCGAUUAGAUACCGCCCUAGUUCUAACCAUAAACGAUGCCAACCAGCGAUCCGCCCGAGUUCCUCAUACGUCUCGGCGGGCAGCUUCGGGAAACCAAAGUGUUUGGGUUCCGGGGGGAGUAUGGUUGCAAAGCUGAAACUUAAAGGAAUUGACGGAAGGGCACUACCAGAAGUGGAUCCUGCGGCUUAAUUUGACUCAACACGGGAAAUCUCACCCGGCCCGGACACCGGAAGGAUUGACAGAUUGACAGCUCUUUCUUGAUUCGGUGCAUGGUGGUGCAUGGCCGUUCUUAGUUGGUGGAUCGAUUUGUCUGGUUAAUUCCGAUAACGAACGAGAUUCCAGCCUACUAAAUAGCCCGGCGGCCCAUUACGUGCCGCCAUUUGGAGCUUCUUAGAGGGACGGGCGGYGYUUAGCCGCACGARACGGAKCAAUAACAGGUYUGUGAUGCCCUUAGAUGKCCGGGGCCGCACGCGCGCUACACUGGAGGGAUCAGCGCGUUUUUCCCCUGGUCCGAGAGGACCGGGUAACCGCGCGAACCCCCUCCGUGMCUUGGGAUAGGGGAUUGCAAUUGUUCCCCUCGAACGAGGAAUUCCUAGUAGGCGCGAGUCAUCAGCUCGCGUCGAUUACGUCCCUGCCCUUUGUCCACACCGCCCGUCGCUAGUAGCGAUUGAACGAUUUAGUGAGGUCUUCGGACCGGUGCCAAACGCCAAAUUUUGGCGUCGGGCGACGGGAAGAUGACCGAACUUGAUCGUUUAGAGCAACUAAAAGUCGUAACAAGGUGGCC